UACGUAGGGGGCAAGCGUUAUCCGGAUUUACUGGGUGUAAAGGGAGCGUAGACGGCAGGGCAAGUCUGGAGUGAAAGGCAGGGGCCCAACCCCUGGACUGCUCUGGAAACUGUCCGGCUGGAGUGCAGGAGAGGUAAGUGGAAUUCCUAGUGUAGCGGUGAAAUGCGUAGAUAUUAGGAGGAACACCAGUGGCGAAGGCGGCCUGCUGGACGAUGACUGACGUUGAGGCUCGAAAGCGUGGGGAGCAAACAGG
This 253-nucleotide ribosomal RNA is filed under the name uncultured bacterium. RNAcentral's name for it is "partial 16S ribosomal RNA". It matches the Rfam family "Bacterial small subunit ribosomal RNA", at positions 524 to 776 of the family's 1533-position model. The record is from RNAcentral.